Molecule: unclassified non-coding RNA, 329 nt
Filed under: soil metagenome
Description: partial contains 5.8S ribosomal RNA, internal transcribed spacer 2, and large subunit ribosomal RNA
Rfam family: 5.8S ribosomal RNA (bases 1-120)
Source: RNAcentral
GAUGAAGAACGUAGCGAAAUGCGAUACGUAAUGUGAAUUGCAGAUUUCAGUGAAUCAUCGAAUCUUUGAACGCACAUUGCGCCCGCCAGUAUUCUGGCGGGCAUGCCUGUUCGAGCGUCAUUUCAACCAUCAAGCCUUCGCUUGUGUUGGGGCCCCGCGGCUGCCGCGGUCCCCUAAAUCCAGCGGCGGGCUCGUCGUCGUACCGAGCGCAGUAGACAUCCUCGCUCCGGGAACCCGACGGGUGCCGGCCGUGAAACCCCCCACAUCAAGGUUGACCUCGGAUCAGGUAGGAAUACCCGCUGAACUUAAGCAUAUCAAUAAGCGGAGGA